CCAUAAGUGAUAGAUGUACAAGGACCGAAGAUGGAAGGUCCACCUCUGGAGCAGCCAACCAUCCCCAGAUAUGGUAACAAAGAGUCAUGGCUACUAUCCCAACUCUACGGAACGGGAAUGCUGGUGCAUCUGUCAACUGUUUGCAAACGGACGGAGCUGCUGCUGCUGACCUGUGACCUGAACUGCUGAUUUCCUUACAAUGCACACGGGAUUUGCACCAAAGAACAAUUUCUCAACAGGUCCACUUCCCCCCAUCUCCUGAGGACCAUUCUUUCCCACUACCUCUGCUGCUAGGUGGUGGGCUAGAAGGAAAGUUAAAACAGUCAAGAAUCCUCAUUAAAAGUAGGCUUUGAAAAAAAAAAUCA
This 365-nucleotide long non-coding RNA is filed under the name Rattus norvegicus (Norway rat). RNAcentral's name for it is "long non-coding RNA NONRATT026806". The record is from RNAcentral. Lineage: Eukaryota; Metazoa; Chordata; Mammalia; Rodentia; Muridae.